GACGAACGCUGGCGGCGUGCUUAACACAUGCAAGUCGAACGGAAAGGCCAUGAUUUUGUGGGGUGCUCGUGUGGCGAACGGGGGAGUAACACGCGAGUAACCUGCACUUGACAUUGGGAUAACUUCAGGGAAAUGGGGCUAAUACCGGAUAUGAGAUCCUGAUGCAUGGGGGGGGUAGGAAAGAUUCGGCGGUUGGGGAUCGACUCGCGGCUUAACCGCUUGUUGGUGGGGUAGUGGCUUACCAAGGCUUUGACGGGUAGCCGGCCUGAGAGAGUGACCGGCGACCAUGGUACUGCGGGACGGCCCAGCCUGCUACGGUCGGCAGCAGGCGGGAAUAUUGCGCAAUGGGCCGAAGCCUGAUGCGACAGCGCCGCGUGCGUAAUGACGGCCUUCGGGUUGUAAACCGCUUUCUCCUGUGACGAAGCGUGAGUGACGGUAAUUGGUAAAGAAGCACCGGCUAACUACGUG
This 468-nucleotide ribosomal RNA is filed under the name uncultured bacterium. Its description in RNAcentral is "partial 16S ribosomal RNA". It matches the Rfam family "Bacterial small subunit ribosomal RNA", at positions 28 to 507 of the family's 1533-position model. The record is from RNAcentral.